Molecule: ribosomal RNA, 475 nt
Filed under: uncultured bacterium
Lineage: Bacteria
Description: bacterial SSU rRNA
Rfam family: Bacterial small subunit ribosomal RNA
Source: RNAcentral
GAUGAACGCUGGCGGCGUGCCUCAAACAUGCAAGUCGAGCGGGGCUAUGUAAUAUCGCAAGGUAGAACAUAGCCUAGCGGCGAACGGGUGAGUAACACGUGGGUAACCUGCCUGGAAGACAGGGAUAACGAUUCGAAAGGGUCGCUAAUACCUGAUAAUAUCCUUUCAUCGCAUGGUGAUAGGAAGAAAGGGGAAACCCGCUUUCAGAUGGGCCCGCGUCCCAUCAGCUAGUUGGUAAGGUAAAGGCUUACCAAGGCGACGACGGGUAGCCGGUCUGAGAGGAUGUACGGCCACACUGGGACUGGGAUACGGCCCAGACUCCUACGGGAGGCAGCAGUUGGGAAUCUUAGGCAAUGGACGAAAGUCUGACCUAGCGACGCCGCGUGAGGGAAGAAGGCCUUCGGGUUGUAACCUACUGUCAUGGGGGAAGAAGGUAAGUGACGGUACCCAAGAGGAAGCCCCUGCUAACUACGUG